GGGGAUGUGGCUCAUUGGUAGAGCUUUUGUCUUACAUGCAGGAGACCCUGGGUUGAAUCUCCAGUACCACCA
This 72-nucleotide transfer RNA is filed under the name Heterocephalus glaber (naked mole-rat). It matches the Rfam family "tRNA". From Rfam's summary of the family: Transfer RNA (tRNA) molecules are approximately 80 nucleotides in length. Their secondary structure includes four short double-helical elements and three loops (D, anti-codon, and T loops). Further hydrogen bonds mediate the characteristic L-shaped molecular structure. tRNAs have two regions of fundamental functional importance: the anti-codon, which is responsible for specific mRNA codon recognition, and the 3' end, to which the tRNAs corresponding amino acid is attached (by aminoacyl-tRNA synthetases). tRNAs cope with the degeneracy of the genetic code in two manners: having more than one tRNA (with a specific anti-codon) for a particular amino acid; and 'wobble' base-pairing, i.e. permitting non-standard base-pairing at the 3rd anti-codon position. The record is from Rfam by way of RNAcentral. Lineage: Eukaryota; Metazoa; Chordata; Mammalia; Rodentia; Bathyergidae.